AUUGAACGCUGGCGGCAUGCCCUACACAUGCAAGUCGAACGGUAACGGGCCUUCGGGUGCCGACGAGUGGCGAACGGGUGAGUAAUACAUCGGAACGUGCCCGAUCGUGGGGGAUAACGAGGCGAAAGCUUUGCUAAUACCGCAUACGAUCUACGGAUGAAAGCAGGGGACCGCAAGGCCUUGCGCGGACGGAGCGGCCGAUGGCAGAUUAGGUAGUUGGUGGGAUAAAAGCUUACCAAGCCGACGAUCUGUAGCUGGUCUGAGAGGAUGAUCAGCCACACUGGGACUGAGACACGGCCCAGACUCCUACGGGAGGCAGCAGUGGGGAAUUUUGGACAAUGGGCGCAAGCCUGAUCCAGCCAUGCCGCGUGCAGGAUGAAGGCCUUCGGGUUGUAAACUGCUUUUGUACGGAACGAAAAGCCUUCUUUUAAUACAGGAGGGUCAUGACGGUACCGUAAGAAUAAGCACCGGCUAACUACGUG
RNAcentral lists this ribosomal RNA (482 nucleotides) under uncultured bacterium. Its description in RNAcentral is "partial 16S ribosomal RNA". It matches the Rfam family "Bacterial small subunit ribosomal RNA", at positions 30 to 507 of the family's 1533-position model. The record is from RNAcentral.